This 252-nucleotide ribosomal RNA is filed under the name uncultured Bacteroidales bacterium. RNAcentral describes it as "partial 16S ribosomal RNA". It matches the Rfam family "Bacterial small subunit ribosomal RNA", at positions 524 to 776 of the family's 1533-position model. The record is from RNAcentral. Lineage: Bacteria; Pseudomonadati; Bacteroidota; Bacteroidia; Bacteroidales.
UACGGAGGAUGCGAGCGUUAUCCGGAUUUAUUGGGUUUAAAGGGUGCGUAGGCGGUCCGUUAAGUCAGCGGUAAAAUGUCCGGGCUCAACCCGGGCCGGCCGUUGAAACUGGGGAUCUAGAGUGUGCGAGAGGUAUGCGGAAUGCGUGGUGUAGCGGUGAAAUGCAUAGAUAUCACGCAGAACCCCGAUUGCGAAGGCAGCAUACCGGUGCCCGACUGACGCUGAGGCACGAAAGUGCGGGUAUCGAACAGG